Molecule: ribosomal RNA, 433 nt
Filed under: uncultured bacterium
Lineage: Bacteria
Description: partial 16S ribosomal RNA
Rfam family: Bacterial small subunit ribosomal RNA
Source: RNAcentral
AACGAACGCUGGCGGCAUGCCUAACACAUGCAAGUCGAACGAGACCUUCGGGUCUAGUGGCGCACGGGUGCGUAACGCGUGGGAACCUGCCCUUAGGUUCGGAAUAACUCCCCGAAAGGGGUGCUAAUACCGGAUAAUGUCUUCGGACCAAAGAUUUAUCGCCUUUGGAUGGGCCCGCGUUGGAUUAGCUCGUUGGUAGGGUAAAAGCCUACCAAGGCGACGAUCCAUAGCUGGUCUGAGAGGAUGAUCAGCCACACUGGGACUGAGACACGGCCCAGACGCCUACGGGAGGCAGAAGUGGGGAAUAUUGAACAAGGGGCGAAAGCCUGAUCCAGCCAUGCCGCGUGAGUGAUGAAGGCCUUAGGGUUGUAAAGCUCUUUUACCCGGGAGGAUAAUGACAGUACCGGGAGAAUAAGCUCCGGCUAACUACGUG